This 57-nucleotide transfer RNA is filed under the name Curculionoidea sp. 16 KM-2017. RNAcentral's name for it is "tRNA-Phe". Lineage: Eukaryota; Metazoa; Arthropoda; Insecta; Coleoptera. The record is from RNAcentral.
AUUUAAAUAAAGAGCAUAGUAUUGAAGAUACUAAGGAAACAUAUUAGUUUUUAAAUA